RNAcentral lists this transfer RNA (75 nucleotides) under Hypecoum zhukanum. RNAcentral describes it as "tRNA-Asp". It matches the Rfam family "tRNA". From Rfam's summary of the family: Transfer RNA (tRNA) molecules are approximately 80 nucleotides in length. Their secondary structure includes four short double-helical elements and three loops (D, anti-codon, and T loops). Further hydrogen bonds mediate the characteristic L-shaped molecular structure. tRNAs have two regions of fundamental functional importance: the anti-codon, which is responsible for specific mRNA codon recognition, and the 3' end, to which the tRNAs corresponding amino acid is attached (by aminoacyl-tRNA synthetases). tRNAs cope with the degeneracy of the genetic code in two manners: having more than one tRNA (with a specific anti-codon) for a particular amino acid; and 'wobble' base-pairing, i.e. permitting non-standard base-pairing at the 3rd anti-codon position. Lineage: Eukaryota; Viridiplantae; Streptophyta; Magnoliopsida; Ranunculales; Papaveraceae. The record is from RNAcentral.
GGGAUUGUAGUUCAAUCGGUCAGAGCACCGCCCUAUCAAGGCGGAAGCUGCGGGGUUCGAGCCCCGUCAGUACCG